UGUUGUCCUAAAAAAUCGGAUUCCCAGAACCACAGCAAAUGAUUUCAGCUUAUUUACUGAGAUCAAAAGUUGGCAAAUAACCAUGAUGUCAGAGGACCAGAGAUUGUUACAUAAUCAUCCUUCAGUAGAGACAAUGAGGUCACAUGUUUAUCCAUCUAAUCACUGAUCAGGGACAUAUUUGAUUGCAGAUAAUGUGCUCUCUGGCCCACAACUUAAUUACUGAGUAUCUGAAUCAACAAAGCUUUCAGAUAUAGGUCUUGCCUAAUGUGCAUCUGUUAGAGAUCAUUGCCUCUGUUUGGCCUGGAAAUGAAAGUUCUGGGGGAUACAACUGGCCAUUGCCAGCGCUGUUUUUGAUGACCUCACAUUGGCAAACAUGCCAAUUCUCAUGGUUUAUUUUCUAGUCAGCAGUAGGCUUUGUUGUUUGUAUCUACGGCCAAAUGGAACCAAUGACUCCAAAGUGGCAGCUAUUGGUGAAGCCUCUGAGAGAAGCACGCUCUCUGAGGAAAUUAACGCUGCUCAACAGAGAAGAAGUGAUUCCCUUCCUGAGCUGAAAUCAAAAGAGAAGGCAGGAAAAACUCUGUAUAUGGAAAAAGCUGAAGAAAAUGAAAGGAACAAAUGUUGAAAUUUAUCUCUCAAGCACUGGAUUUUUUGUUCACUUCUGGAUUUGCUUUGUCUUAGAGAAGCUACUACCUUAAGACUCAAGGAAGGGAGAAAAACACUUUCCCCAGUGCUCGGGGCAUGCACUUUGCUUAUAUGUGGUCUGGUUUGUAACGGCUUCCUCUGUGAGGAGGAUCGGCACAACUGACCUCACAUUUGCAAAUAAUCUUUCUAAAAUAAACAUCAUUUGGUGUUUUAAGCACAUAAAAGAAAUUGUGGGUGAAGACAAUCCACAGAAAUGAAAGAAGGGCAAUGCUGAAAUGGUACAGCUAGGUGACUGUGGGCAAACCUUAGUUCUACGGAUCUCAUUUUUCUCAUCGUAAAAAGGAAGGGUAGCCUCCAAGAUGGCCCCUGGUGAUUCUUGCCUCCUGAUAUUCAUGCAUUUGUGUAGUGCCCUCCCACACUAAAUAUGACUUGUAUAAUAAAUAGUGUACUACAAAACAACACUGUGACUUCCAAGGCUAGACUAUAACAGACUUUGCUUGAUUCCACUGCUUCCUCCUGGGUCACUCACUCUGACGGUUGCCAACUUCCAUACUGUGAAAGUACUCAAGCAGUCCAAUGGACAAGUCCCCAUGGGAAAGCACUGAAGCCUCCUAAUGACAGUCAUCACCAGCGAGCCAUUGGUGUGAGUGAGCCUUCCCAGAAGUGGGCCAUAUGGUCUUAGUCAAAGUUUUAGAUGACUGCUGUCCCAGCUGACAUCAUGACUGCAAUUUCACAGGGACCCUAGAAGAGAACCACCCAGGUAAGCCACUUCUGAAUUCCUGACACACAGGAACUGUGAGAUAAUAUCUGUUGUUCUUUAAAGUUGCCGUGUUUUAGGUAGUUUGUUACGUAGCAAUAGAUAACUAAUUCAGAUGUUUUAGGCCAUAUUUUAUGUCAGUGAGUAGGUGUAAUUGAAAGAAGUCAUGAAAAGUUGGUGUUUCAUUUGAAAGUUCAAAGACUG
Chinchilla lanigera (long-tailed chinchilla) is the source of this 1603-nucleotide long non-coding RNA. The record is from Ensembl. NCBI's taxonomy places the organism in Eukaryota, Metazoa, Chordata, Mammalia, Rodentia, Chinchillidae.